AGACUUUUGGUGUAGUGGAAACAUAGGAGGUGCAAGCUUGCUGACGUAGGUUCGAUUCCUGCAGGGUCUA
This 70-nucleotide transfer RNA is filed under the name Streptococcus anginosus. Its description in RNAcentral is "tRNA-Leu". It matches the Rfam family "tRNA". Rfam says of the family: Transfer RNA (tRNA) molecules are approximately 80 nucleotides in length. Their secondary structure includes four short double-helical elements and three loops (D, anti-codon, and T loops). RNAcentral also lists the same sequence under 2 other names. Lineage: Bacteria; Bacillati; Bacillota; Bacilli; Lactobacillales; Streptococcaceae. The record is from RNAcentral.